This 450-nucleotide ribosomal RNA is filed under the name uncultured bacterium. Its description in RNAcentral is "bacterial SSU rRNA". It matches the Rfam family "Bacterial small subunit ribosomal RNA", at positions 29 to 524 of the family's 1533-position model. The record is from RNAcentral.
AACGAACGCUGGCGGCAGGCUUAACACAUGCAAGUCGAGCGAAGACUUCGGUCUUAGCGGCGGACGGGUGAGUAACGCGUGGGAACGUGCCCUUCGCUACGGAACAGUCCUGGGAAACUGGGUUUAAUACCGUAUACGCCCUUCGGGGGAAAGAUUUAUCGGCAAAGGAUUGGCCCGCGUUGGAUUAGGUAGUUGGUGGGGUAAAGGCCUACCAAGCCGACGAUCCAUAGCUGGUUUGAGAGGAUGAUCAGCCACACUGGGACUGAGACACGGCCCAGACUCCUACGGGAGGCAGCAGUGGGGAAUAUUGGACAAUGGGCGCAAGCCUGAUCCAGCCAUGCCGCGUGGGUGAAGAAGGCCUUAGGGUUGUAAACCCCUUUCAGCGGGGAAGAUAAUGACGGUACCCGCAGAAGAAGUCCCGGCUAACUCCGUGCCAGCAGCCGCAGUAAA